GUUCCCACAGCUUUUUCAACAUUAAAAGAAACAAAAAAAAAUCUUUAUGCUCCUCCUGAUGUCUCAGCUGGACCUGAGGUGGGGGAUUUAAUUUUAUUUCAUGAAGUGUCAGUGUAAGCUGCUUCUCUAGGCUCUUUUGAGAGACUGGAGAGAGAGAUGUCUUCAGCACGGUUUUUUUCAUAGCCUGAGAUAGGAUAGUUAUUGUGGACAAGCAAGUGGAAUAAGUUACUCUCUGUGGGUGUCUGUUUCUCUCCUCAGGCUAUAGAAAGAAGCUAACAGGCUAACUUAGAUGACGUUUUUGCUUUUCAGGCAGAUAAACUUAGGAGAGGUGAAUCACAUACUGAAUAUAAGCCAAGGCAUCCUCUUGUUCUGUGUAUUUGCUUGUGCUUUAAGUGUAGCGAAAUAUUUGGUAUAGUCCAUCUGCACAGAGAUGUGUCUGCUAUCUUUUCAUAAAAGUAAAGGGAUACAUCCUCUUUUACAUAUUCAACUCUUUUUUUUUUUUUGGAAAACCAGACCAGAAAACCAGGCCAGAGAAAAGCCUCUUGGCAUUUGAGUGAGGUUGUGUACUCUAGAAAUACUGGAAAGUUUGCAUUUCGCUCCAGUAGUGCAUUUCAAGAGCUGAUAAAGGCUCCAGGUAUUGUAAUGAUCUUGAGCUUAUAUCGGACCACCUUUUCAUCUUAAGGUGAAGGUCAUGUUGCCAGCAGUGGAAGCCAGAUCUAAAGAAUGGAGACAAGUGCCAUGUUGUACGGAUUUCAGAUUCCACUGGAAGUCAGGAAGUGAACCCCUGAUCUGGAAUCUGUCAGACUACUCUUUGCCUAGAGAUGUUCAUACUCAGAAAUGCAGCGUUCUGCACUGUGUGGCAUUGGCCUGGCAAACAGUCGUGAACUCCUCUGCUCCAGGAGAAAAGUAUUCCAAAGCAGGAAAAACCCAGACGUUCUUCACUGAGCCUUGGGACAGCUGCUGGAAUAAGAAAAUGCAAAACAGUCAUUUGAACAGCAGAACCUCUGAACUCAGCAACUGGAAUUCCCAAUUACAGACAUGCUGCUGUUUCUCCUCCCUCAACACAGAUGUUUAGCUUGAUCACUCCCCCAACCCCAGUGAGACAAAUGCUGUGAAGGAUGCAGAGCUAUGCAUGCUCUGACAGCUACAUCAAAGGCCCGGCCCAGCCUGUGCCUCAGCCACCAGUCUGGAGGAAAUCAGAGACCCUCAUUAAAGUUUCAGAAAAACCUAACUGGUAUGAGGACGGCACUCAAAAAUGUGUUCAGGGGAAAACAAAUAUUGUUUUAACGCUAUUAAUAAUUGAUGAGUUGCCAGCAGAGAUCCUCAUAGCAUUAAGGGAAUUGAAAAUUAAAGGCACAAAGACACUACUUUAAGAAAACAUCUUGGUAAAUAAUUAAUAUGGAAUGAGCCUAUUGGAAUCUGAAGAGUGUAGCUUUUAGUUUAUGUUGUCAAACCUAUGCUUUCUAAUACCAGAGUUUCUUCCAGAAUGAGAGCGUGGUCAUUUUCAUUUUAUACGGACAAAAGCUCUCACUGUUCUGCCGCUCAGCUGAAAUCAUUUACUGGCUUCUGUAUCGGUUGUGUUGAGCCCCUACCAUCAACCUAAGCAGCACAGCUAAGCACCCAAAGAUUAUGGCUUUCUGAAAUCAAGAGGGGGAAAAAGACGGAUAAUUAUUUAGAAAACAGAAAAGAACAUAUUCGUGUGUCUGUCUUAGGGAAAUGACUGUUUGUCAGGGUCAGACUGGAUCAGAGGAAGAAACCCUGCCAAUGUGUGUUUAGCAAUAUGAGGUAUAAAUAGCUGUGAGAAGCAUCUUGGGAUGUGUAACACUCAGGAGCAAUGACUGCUUGAGUUUUUGUGUCUCUAGAGAGAUGUGUUUGCAAUGGUGAGGCCAGUUGUGGGGGCUGCACUGAAUAAAUAAUUCAGAGGCCGGCA
Molecule: long non-coding RNA, 1930 nt
Filed under: Numida meleagris (helmeted guineafowl)
Lineage: Eukaryota; Metazoa; Chordata; Aves; Galliformes; Numididae
Description: lncRNA (ENSNMEG00000012332.1)
Source: RNAcentral